UACAGAGGGUGCAAACGUUGUUCGGAAUUACUGGGCGUAAAGCGCGUGUAGGCGGCUAUGCAAGUCGGAUGUGAAAGCCCUCGGCUCAACCGGGGAAGUGCACCCGAAACUGCAAGGCUAGAGUCUCGGAGAGGAUCGUGGAAUUCUCGGUGUAGAGGUGAAAUUCGUAGAUAUCGAGAGGAACACCGGUGGCGAAGGCGACGAUCUGGACGAUGACUGACGCUGAGACGCGAAAGCGUGGGGAGCAAACAGG
This 253-nucleotide ribosomal RNA is filed under the name uncultured bacterium. RNAcentral's name for it is "partial 16S ribosomal RNA". It matches the Rfam family "Bacterial small subunit ribosomal RNA", at positions 524 to 776 of the family's 1533-position model. The record is from RNAcentral.